Molecule: non-coding RNA, 74 nt
Organism: Podarcis lilfordi (Lilford's wall lizard)
Lineage: Eukaryota; Metazoa; Chordata; Lepidosauria; Squamata; Lacertidae
Source: the annotation of a GenBank genome assembly
ACUUGGGAUAGCUCAGUGGAUGGAGCAUGAGAUUCUUAAUUUCUGGGUUGUGGGUUCGAGUUCCACAUUGGGCA